CUUGUACACACCGCCCGUCACACCAUGGGAGUGGGUUGCACCAGAAGUAGCUAGUCUAACCCUCGGGAGGACGGUUACCACGGUGUGAUUCAUGACUGGGGUGAAGUCGUAACAAGGUAGCCGUAGGGGAACCUGCGGCUGGAUCACCUCCUUAA
RNAcentral lists this ribosomal RNA (155 nucleotides) under Klebsiella pneumoniae. RNAcentral's name for it is "partial 16S ribosomal RNA". It matches the Rfam family "Bacterial small subunit ribosomal RNA", at positions 1380 to 1533 of the family's 1533-position model. The record is from RNAcentral. Lineage: Bacteria; Pseudomonadati; Pseudomonadota; Gammaproteobacteria; Enterobacterales; Enterobacteriaceae.